AACGAACGCUGGCGGCAGGCUUAACACAUGCAAGUCGAACGCUCGUAGCAAUACGGGAGUGGCGGACGGGUGAGUAACGCGUGGGAACGUGCCCUGAGGUACGGAAUAACUGAGGGAAACUUCAGCUAAUACCGUAUGAGCCCCGAGAGGGGGAAAGAUUUAUCGCCUUGGGAGCGGCCCGCGUCGGAUUAGCUAGUUGGUGGGGUAACGGCCUACCAAGGCUUCGAUCCGUAGCUGGUCUGAGAGGACGAUCAGCCACACUGGGACUGAGACACGGCCCAGACUCCUACGGGAGGCAGCAGUGGGGAAUCUUGCGCAAUGGGGGGCAACCCUGACGCAGCCAUGCCGCGUGAACGAUGAAGGCCUUAGGGUUGUAAAGUUCUUUUACCCGUGACGAUGAUGACGGUAACGGGGGAAUAAGCUCCGGCUAACUUCGUGCCAGCAGCCGCGGU
This 452-nucleotide ribosomal RNA is filed under the name uncultured bacterium. RNAcentral describes it as "bacterial SSU rRNA". It matches the Rfam family "Bacterial small subunit ribosomal RNA", at positions 29 to 521 of the family's 1533-position model. The record is from RNAcentral.